UAGGGAAUCUUCGGCAAUGGACGAAAGUCUGACCGAGCAACGCCGCGUGAGUGAAGAAGGUUUUCGGAUCGUAAAACUCUGUUGUUAGAGAAGAACAAGGACGUUAGUAACUGAACGUCCCCUGACGGUAUCUAACCAGAAAGCCACGGCUAACUACGUGCCAGCAGCCGCGGUAAUACGUAGGUGGCAACCGUUGUCCGGAUUUAUUGGGCGUAAAGCGAGCGCAGGCGGUUUCUUAAGUCUGAUGUGAAAGCCCCCGGCUCAACCGGGGAGGGUCAUUGGAAACUGGGAGACUUGAGUGCAGAAGAGGAGGGUGGAAUUCCAUGUGUAGCGGUGAACUGCGUAGAUAUAUGGAGGAACACCAGUGGCGAAGGCGGCUCUCUGGUCUGUAACUGACGCUGAGGCUCGAAAGCGUGGGGAGCAAACAGG
RNAcentral lists this ribosomal RNA (429 nucleotides) under Gemmatimonadota bacterium. Its description in RNAcentral is "Gemmatimonadetes bacterium partial 16S ribosomal RNA". It matches the Rfam family "Bacterial small subunit ribosomal RNA", at positions 355 to 776 of the family's 1533-position model. Lineage: Bacteria; Pseudomonadati; Gemmatimonadota. The record is from RNAcentral.